This is a long non-coding RNA of Choloepus didactylus (southern two-toed sloth), 828 nucleotides long. RefSeq lists it as uncharacterized. The transcript is spliced from 3 exons. The record is from RefSeq and is a predicted model, not a curated record. NCBI's taxonomy places the organism in Eukaryota, Metazoa, Chordata, Mammalia, Pilosa, Megalonychidae.
CCUCUCAGGCUCAGUGUCACUUCAACAACCUGAGAUCCUGAUUUUGUGUGUUUUAAACGCAGAUGCUUACACCGACCACAGAAGAAGAAAGUGUGCUGACACUUCCACCUGGAACGUGGCUAAAUGUCUCCCAGGUGACACCGCACUCAGCCGCGUCGCGAAGUAGUCAUUGUUAAUGCCUUCACUUAUAGGGCCAGCUGAGAUCUGAAACCAUCAUUGGUAUCUCUGAGCAGAAGUGUUGAGGUCCAUCAAGAAUUCCAGAUGCUUGCAUCAGUUGAUUUCUCCCACUUCCCAACCCAGGGCUGAAAACUACAAGCCUUGGAGAGGAACCAGGUCUUUUUCAUUGCUCCUGCAUUUGUUGUCCAACCUGGGAUAUCUGGUUCAAAUUUAAGUUGCCUAACUUAUUGAGGUAAGUAAUCUCCUCUGCUAAUGGAACAUGUUACCAUCUUUGAAACAUGUUAGUAUUGCCAUUCCCAGAAACUUGACAACAGUUUAGCCUUUGGUGGUCACCCUCACCUAUAUUGGAACUAAGGGUUUGGGGAGAUGAUAUAAGGUGGUAUUUUGGACAGUUUGCAAUUAUUGUGAAAAUCUUGCCUGUUCUGCCAAUGAGGCUAGUGAUUCUGAUGUACAGUCAAAAAAAAGAGCCCUUGGAAACGAUUCCCUCUGUUAGGAGCUUACUUGCAAAUCAGUAUUUGUUUCAGAUAUCUUUGUUCAAUCUUGGUAUACCUGGUGAUUCACUCCCAGUCCCAAACAGGAGCCCUUUACCCUUGAGCAGAAAUCUGGAUUCAGCUACCACCUGGAGCCUGAUCAUGAAGUGCCAUUACUCAA